GAUGAACGCUGGCGGCGUGCCUAAUACAUGCAAGUCGAGCGAACAGACGAGGAGCUUGCUCCUCUGACGUUAGCGGCGGACGGGUGAGUAACACGUGGAUAACCUACCUAUAAGACUGGGAUAACUUCGGGAAACCGGAGCUAAUACCGGAUAAUAUAUUGAACCGCAUGGUUCAAUAGUGAAAGACGGUUUUGCUGUCACUUAUAGAUGGAUCCGCGCCGCAUUAGCUAGUUGGUAAGGUAACGGCUACCAAGGCAAAGAUGCGUAGCCGACCUGAGAGGGUGAUCGGCCACACUGGAACUGAGACACGGUCCAGACUCCUACGGGAGGCAGCAGUAGGGAAUCUUCCGCAAUGGGCGAAAGCCUGACGGAGCAACGCCGCGUGAGUGAUGAAGGUCUUCGGAUCGUAAAACUCUGUUAUUAGGGAAGAACAAAUGUGUAAGUAACUAUGCACGUCUUGACGGUACCUAAUCAGAAAGCCACGGCUAACUACGUG
Molecule: ribosomal RNA, 496 nt
Filed under: uncultured bacterium
Lineage: Bacteria
Description: partial 16S ribosomal RNA
Rfam family: Bacterial small subunit ribosomal RNA
Source: RNAcentral